This 446-nucleotide ribosomal RNA is filed under the name uncultured bacterium. RNAcentral describes it as "partial 16S ribosomal RNA". It matches the Rfam family "Bacterial small subunit ribosomal RNA", at positions 329 to 792 of the family's 1533-position model. The record is from RNAcentral.
CCCCAGACUCCUACGGGAGGCAGCAGUGGGGGAUAUUGCACAAUGGGGGAAACCCUGAUGCAGCGACGCCGCGUGAGCGAUGAAGUAUUUCGGUAUGUAAAGCUCUAUCAGCAGGGAAGAAAAUGACGGUACCUGACUAAGAAGCCCCGGCUAACUACGUGCCAGCAGCCGCGGUAAUACGUAGGGGGCAAGCGUUAUCCGGAUUUACUGGGUGUAAAGGGAACGUAGACGGCUGUGCAAGCCAGAUGUGAAAGUCCGGGGCUCAACCCCGGGACUGCUCUUGGAACUGCGCGGCUGGAGUGCAGGAGGGGCAGGCGGAAUUCCUGGUGUAGCGGUGAAAUGCGUAGAUAUCAGGAGGAACACCGGUGGCGAAGGCGGCCUGCUGGACUGCGACUGACGUUGAGGCCCGAAAGCGUGGGGAGCAAACAGGAUUAGAUACCCGAGUA